GAUGAACGCUGGCGGCGUGCUUAACACAUGCAAGUCGAGCGAAGCAAUCUAAGUGAAGUUUUCGGAUGGAUCUUGGAUUGACUGAGCGGGCGACGGGUGAAGUAACGCGUGGAUAACCUGCCUCACACAGGGGGAUAACAGUUAGAAAUGACUGCUAAUACCACAUAAGCGCACGGCAUCGCAUGAUGCAGUGUGAAAAACUCCGGUGGUGUGAGAUGGAUCCGCGUCUGAUUAGCUAGUUGGUGAGGUAACGGCCCACCAAGGCGACGAUCAGUAGCCGACCUGAGAGGGUGACCGGCCACAUUGGGACUGAGACACGGCCCAG
RNAcentral lists this ribosomal RNA (325 nucleotides) under uncultured bacterium. Its description in RNAcentral is "bacterial SSU rRNA". It matches the Rfam family "Bacterial small subunit ribosomal RNA", at positions 28 to 334 of the family's 1533-position model. The record is from RNAcentral.